Long non-coding RNA from Entelurus aequoreus (snake pipefish), 645 nucleotides. RefSeq lists it as uncharacterized. The record is from RefSeq and is a predicted model, not a curated record. The transcript has 3 exons. NCBI's taxonomy places the organism in Eukaryota, Metazoa, Chordata, Actinopteri, Syngnathiformes, Syngnathidae.
UUUUCCUCCUCCUCCUCCUCCAGUUUUCUUUUUUUUUGGGGGGUGUGUUCUUCUCUUGCCCACCUGUUUGCAAUUAUCUCAUCACGUCUGCAGGAGAAGAAGUCUUCCACCCGAGACUCCAUGUGUCAUCUAAAUGAGCAUAUUUGUCGUGUUCCAGUCGCAAAGUUGUGGUGGUCGUGUUUCCCAGGAUGCAAAAAGGACGGCAGGAAGCAGCGUGCGGUAUCGACACCCCCGCUUGCAGUCCUCGCUGCCAUGGUUGCAGAGUCGACACUCUGAAUAUCAAGCGGCUGAUUGCUUCUGUCACCCGGUGAACUGGGUCUCGCCAGAUGUGCUUGUCGGUCGGCGUCAGCAGCGGGGAUUUGUCCCCUGGGCGGACCGGCGUUUGUAAGGUUGGACAGACGGUCCAGAAACGGGAGAGAGGAGGCCGUCCUGCCACUCACGUUGUCUUUUCCUCUUUUCGUCACUGUCGAGGGGACCGUCGAUGCCAGCGUCAGGCGGCUGCAGAGGCUCCUACGUCAACCUAAACAUAACUGCUGACUGUUGUCCUUCAAUCACGUGCUACGUCGCCACUAGUGUUGUCCCCAUACCAAUAUUUGUGUAUGUAUUUCGAUACUUUUCGGUAUUUUUCUAAAUAAAGGGGACCAC